RNAcentral lists this ribosomal RNA (433 nucleotides) under uncultured bacterium. RNAcentral describes it as "partial 16S ribosomal RNA". It matches the Rfam family "Bacterial small subunit ribosomal RNA", at positions 29 to 507 of the family's 1533-position model. The record is from RNAcentral.
AACGAACGCUGGCGGCAUGCCUAACACAUGCAAGUCGAACGAGACCUUCGGGUCUAGUGGCGCACGGGUGCGUAACGCGUGGGAACCUGCCCUUAGGUUCGGAAUAACUCCCCGAAAGGGGUGCUAAUACCGGAUAAUGUCUUCGGACCAAAGAUUUAUCGCCUUUGGAUGGGCCCGCGUUGGAUUAGCUAGUUGGUAGGGUAAAAGCCUACCAAGGCGACGAUCCAUAGCUGGUCUGAGAGGAUGAUCAGCCACACUGGUACUGAGACACGGCCCAGACUCCUACGGGAGGGAGCAGUGGGGAAUAUUGGACAAUGGGCGAAAGCCUGAUCCAGCAAUGCCGCGUGAGUGAUGAAGGCCUUAGGGUUGUAAAGCUCUUUUACCCGGGAUGAUAAUGACAGUACCGGGAGAAUAAGCUCCGGCUAACUCCGUG